GUCAUUUCCCACCCAAAACUAGCAAAUUUUGGGACAUUGGUUUUGAACAAACUUAACAAUACAAUAUCACUGUCCCAGGCUCUAGCUGAAUAACAUCAACAUAAAUAUAACAUAAUACUUUGUGUAAGCAUCUCGUACAACUGUGUUGCUGUGAUAAUGAAAUCAAAACACAUGCAUCCUGCAUCCAUGAAAGUGGAUAAUCGAAGAUCCUGCUCGCAGCUAUGCCUCAUUGCCUACCAUGGCCAAAACCUCUUUGAGGUUUACCGUAGUGUUCUCCGUCUGAUUGUUAUGUGUUGAGGAUGAGCUGAAUGUUACUGAUAUUGAUAGGUACCUGAUAUCUAAUUGUGGUCAAUGUUAAGUGUAAUACCGUGACAUCUUCCAAUGCCAAAGUUUAUUUCCAACGAGCCAAAGCUUAUUUGCAUUGCAAUUACGAGCGAUAGUGUGAUGUGUGGAACGUGUAGUAAGUACGAUUGGGAACCACUUACUCUGUAACCCAAAGUGGCAUGUUUGCAUAUAUGAGAAUGUUCAGUGUUCAUCGUCUUUAGAUAAUAAAAGCAUUGGCAUACCAGGAA
Molecule: long non-coding RNA, 572 nt
Organism: Amphibalanus amphitrite
Lineage: Eukaryota; Metazoa; Arthropoda; Thecostraca; Balanomorpha; Balanidae
Exons: 2
Source: RefSeq, a predicted model, not a curated record